CUCUUUAAUACCGUAUUUCUAGUUAAUGUGGAUCAUUUUAGGGCCUGAUUCAGAAUCCUCUGAGGUCACUUUAGAGACUCAUGAAGAUAUAACUGAACUUUAAUGAGGCUUACUUUCAACCACAACUGUUCAAGGAGAGGAGGGAAGGAAGGAAGGAAGGAAGGAAGGAAGGAAGGAAGGAAGGAAGGAAGGAAGGAAGGAAGGAAGGAAAAGUAUCAUUAGAUUAGAUUUAAAUUAAUCUGAAAUUUUAAAAUGGCAACUACGAUAUUACAGCUCAAGGGUGGAAAGAGAAAGAUCCAAAUGACCCAGGGUGCAGCCUCUGGCAGUCAGCUGCAAAGCCAGGAGAUACUGAAGAGCAGCAGCAGCAGCAGCAAGGAGGACAAAACGCUGUUGUUUUUUUCCCUUUCCUCACGUAGGCAGUACCAUUUCCUUGGGAGAUAUAAAUUGCAGUGAAGACAAACAAAAAUACUGCUGAGAACUAAAAGGAGAGGAUGCAACAUUGAGUCACAGAUACAGGAACAUGAAUUUUUAAAGGGCCUGAGGCAAGGAUUUGGGAAGUUAACAAUACCACAGACACCGGCAAUGGGUUCAGGAGUAAACAAAGUUCACUUGAAAGACAACCACCAAUUAAGACAAAGUGGAUUUCUAAUAUGUACUCUGAAUUUGCAUUUCUUUACCAAAAAUUACAUUAAAAACUGUUCAUUGUCCACAGAUGUAUAAGGUACAAUUGCCUCCAAUAGAAUUUAUUUUGUGUAAGUGUGACUAACAGAGAUCUCUCUACUGUGAGCCAUCUCUCCCAGAGAACAGUUGGAAAUGCCUCAGUAAAAAUCUCAUCUGUGCAAAAAAUAUCCUGCAUGUACUGAAAAGUGCAAGGUCCUAGGCACUGGGGUUACACCAUGGACAAAGAUAUUUGGGAAGGACUGUCCUGUGUUCAUCCUUCCUUUCAGUUUUUGACCUGCACAAAAUACCCAGAAAUUUAUAUUUCUUUCUUUAAAGCCUAAAUGUAAAUAAUGAAGUAGUUGCUCUGUGUGGGGCUAUCACUAUCUGUUUAAAAUAAAUGUUUUUGAAAGACGUGGAGCA
RNAcentral lists this long non-coding RNA (1080 nucleotides) under Phasianus colchicus (ring-necked pheasant). RNAcentral describes it as "lncRNA (ENSPCLG00000010198.1)". The record is from RNAcentral. Lineage: Eukaryota; Metazoa; Chordata; Aves; Galliformes; Phasianidae.